GUGAGGAAUAUUGGACAAUGGGCGCAAGCCUGAUCCAGCCAUGCCGCGUGCAGGAAGACGCAUCUAUGGUGUGUAAACUGCUUUUGUACGAGAAGAAACACUCCCUCGUGAGGGAGCUUGACGGUACCGUAAGAAUAAGGAUCGGCUAACUCCGUGCCAGCAGCCGCGGUAAUACGGAGGAUCCAAGCGUUAUCCGGAAUCAUUGGGUUUAAAGGGUCCGUAGGCGGUUUAAUAAGUCAGUGGUGAAAGCCCAUCGCUCAACGAUGGAACGGCCAUUGAUACUGUUAGACUUGAAUUACAAGGAAGUAACUAGAAUAUGUAGUGUAGCGGUGAAAUGCUUAGAUAUUACAUGGAAUACCAAUUGCGAAGGCAGGUUACUACUUGUGGAUUGACGCUGAUGGACGAAAGCGUGGGGAGCGAACAGGAUUAGAAACCCCUGUAUCC
This 444-nucleotide ribosomal RNA is filed under the name uncultured bacterium. Its description in RNAcentral is "partial 16S ribosomal RNA". It matches the Rfam family "Bacterial small subunit ribosomal RNA", at positions 354 to 795 of the family's 1533-position model. The record is from RNAcentral.